AUGAUAUCACUCGUGGCCAGCAGAGAACGACUGUUCCUUCCCAGUUCCAAGGGAGCAAAAGGUUCAAGUUACCUCACCACCCCCAGAUGUACUGGCACCCUAAGAGGCACCCUUGGGCAUCUCCAUUCUAUUUACCAAGUAGAAAGUCAUAAGCAGAGAAAUCUGUGGUCCUUCCCUGUAAAACAGAGGCCUUUCCUAGGCCUCCUGGUGAUGAAGACAUACAACCAUCACAGGCUCAUCUCUCAAGGGAGCAUCGCCCAGACCCCGGCCCACAGCCCUGGGUCCACCGCUCACAAGGCCCUGCCCUGGCUCUAGCAAUGACCCCAAUUUUGGAGGAAUGAAGCCGGGUUUCACAGCCACACUGACCUUGGAGCCGAAGCCUCCUACGUCCUGCCGCUAGCGAACAGCCAAGGACUGUAAGGGUGGGGGCGGGGCCGCCCUUGAAAGGGCUCCUGGGAGGGGCGGGGCCGGGAGGGGCGGGGCCGCCUUUGAAAGGGCUCCGGGAGGGGCGGGGCCUGAGAGGCGGGGCGGGGGCCUGAGGGGCGGGGCGGGGCGGGGAGGGCGGGGCGGGGCGGGGGGGGGGGGGGGGGGGGGGGGGGGGGGGGCGGGGCCCGCCUCGGCCAAUCCCGAAACAAGUCUCAGGACGCACUUGCUCCCCAGCCUUGCCCUUGAAGGACCGGCCUCUGAUUCUUCCGCUGGUGGCAGGGGCUGGUCUCUGGCCUCUUUCUAGCUCCUACCUUUUCUCUGAAAUGUUUUCCUCCCCCAAGUCUAGUCGUGGAGGCUGCCUCUCCCAGGGCUCUGCGAGGGUUUCCUGGGCCCGCAGCCAGCUAACUGGCUGCCCAGACCUGCAGGCUCCCGCGUUGGGAGUGGGAGGACCGCGGGAAAACUGCUGCACCUAUUUGGAAAUUUGUUCCUAUCUUCCCUCAGGAGCCCAUCCCUGGGUCCCUGGUUAGCUGUGGAGAAUGGUCCUUUCUCUCCGGGACCCUCGCCUCUCCCCUCCAAGCUGAGAAAGACAUCUAAAGCUCCCUCCAGUUUCUAAUCACAUUCUGAACCAGGAACCAGGGCAUCUCCUUCCAACUAGUUAUCUGGGGAUUGGAUUCAGGGGCAAUCACCCUUCUCUUCUGGAUCAGGUCAUCUGAAGUAGAUUGCUAGACCAUACACUUUGUAUCCACACCAGCUUAAUUUACUACCAGAAGGUCCCGCAGGCCAUCACUCUGUUUAAAAAUAGCCCUCCUUGGAACAUCCACUGCAAACCGGAAAGGUUGACUGUAAAUAGCAUUGACCCACCAGCACUUUGGAGCACAGCCUGCAUUUCAGAGGGAGCUGCCCAGGCGUCUGGUGAUGGUCACGUACCCAGCUUCUA
This 1363-nucleotide long non-coding RNA is filed under the name Cervus hanglu yarkandensis (Yarkand deer). Its description in RNAcentral is "lncRNA (ENSCHYG00000001862.1)". Lineage: Eukaryota; Metazoa; Chordata; Mammalia; Artiodactyla; Cervidae. The record is from RNAcentral.